AUGAAGACAUGUGUUCCUACUUUAUUCAUGUUUCUGUGGCUGCAGAUGGAUGGGAUGAGCCGAGGAGAGCAGGUGGAGCAGCACCCUUCCAUCCUGAGAGUCCAGGAGGGAGCCAGCGCUGUCAUCAACUGCACGUACACAGACAGUGCCUCAGACUAUUUCCCUUGGUAUAAGCAAGAACCUGGGAAGGGUCUUCAGUUCAUCAUGGACAUUCGUUCAAAUAAGGAAAGAAAGCAGAACCAAAGACUCACAGUUUUACUGGAUAAGAAAGCCAAACACUUCUCCCUGCACAUCACAGACACUCAGCCUGGAGACUCAGUACUUCUGUGUUGCGAGUACACACUGCUCCACGGGCACCUGCAGCCUGUCCUCAAACCGUGGGACCCCAUCCACAUCCUGUGUCAGGGGCCUUCCAGGGCAGCAUUUGCCAGUUACUAG
Psammomys obesus (fat sand rat) is the source of this 438-nucleotide non-coding RNA. The record is from the annotation of a RefSeq genome assembly. NCBI's taxonomy places the organism in Eukaryota, Metazoa, Chordata, Mammalia, Rodentia, Muridae.